Microplitis demolitor is the source of this 3190-nucleotide long non-coding RNA. RefSeq lists it as uncharacterized. The transcript is spliced from 3 exons. The record is from RefSeq and is a predicted model, not a curated record. NCBI's taxonomy places the organism in Eukaryota, Metazoa, Arthropoda, Insecta, Hymenoptera, Braconidae.
UUUAAGUGAAAGUAGUGAGUCAAAGUAAUGUCUGAAUUAUUUUGUUUACUUAAUUUUCGUACAUAAAAAUUAAUUAUUUACAUUUAUAAUAAAAUAAAAAAUUAAGGAAUCAAUAAUUAUUAAAAAAAAAAAAUUCAUUUCUUGCCUCGUUUCUCUUUUUAACAUAUUUCUAUCUUGUCUUUGCUCUCAGCUGCCUCCGGUCGUUCCGUACCCUUUGAUAAUAUUCAUCUCUAUCGAUGAUCGAGAUGGAAACAAUGGUUCAACUUUAAUUAUUUUAAUAAUUCAAAAGUGACGCUAUAUUGUUUUAAUGUAAUUUUACAAAUAUUAGCGUUAAUAAUAUGUUGUUUUUUAUUGGAUUCACUAAAGCCUCCUUAGAUAGUAAACGUCAAUUAACGUAAUUAAAUUACGAUGUAUAUCUAAAAAAAUUUAAUUGGACAACUAAAUAAGGUUAGAAUACAAAGAAGAAUACAACGAUGAAAGGUACAAGCAUAAUAAUCAUGAGGAAAUGAUAAUACUACGGAAGGAAUAAUGGAAUUUUGUCAUCGCUUACAUACUGAAGAUGUGAAUUUUAUAAUACUAGGGACAUGAUUGAUUAUUUUACAAUACUUACAAAAACAGCAAUGAAUAAAAGAUAAAUUGGCAUAUUUGGAAACACGACAAUUACCAUAAUUAUUUAUGGUCUGAAAAUAUAAACUAAAAAGUGAAAAAGUGAUUGCAAAAUUGUAUAGGAAUGAGGGGCCGGUACUGCUGACAAAAAAAAUAUUUGAAAAAUGUAUUAACAAUUUGAUCGCUAAAAUUUGAUGGCCAAACAAAAAAAUUACCUAAUUUCGAAGAAUUUGUAUUGUAAAAAAGCAUAAGUGAAAUUGUAUACGGAUGAAAGGGCCGGUACUGCUGAUAAAAAAAUAUUUGAGAAAUUUAUUUACAAAUUAAUCGCUAUAAUCUGAUGGCCAAAAAAGAAAUUAAUUUAUUUUUAAGAAUUUGUAUUGUGAAAAAGUGUUUGUGAAAUCGUAUAGGGAUGACGGGCCGGUACUGCUGAUGAAAAAAUAUUUGAAACAUUUUUUUACAAACUAAUCGCUAUAAUUUGAUGGCCAAAAAAAUUAAUUUAUUUUUAAGAAUUUGUAUUGUAAAAAAGUGAUUGCGAAAUUGUAUGGGGAUGAGGGGCCGGUACUGCUGAUAAAAAAAUAUUUGAGAAAUUCAUUUAUAAAUUAAUACACAAUAUCGCUCACUUUUUUACAAUUCAAAUUCUUGAAAAUUAACUAAUUUUUUUUGUUGACCAUCAAAUUAUAGCAAUUAAUUUGUAAAUAAAUUUUUCAAAAAUUUUUUUAUCAGCAGUAUCGGCCCCUCAUCCCCAUAAAAUUUUGCAAUCACUUUUUUUGUAGAAUUUGUAUUAUGGAAAAGCAUAAGCGAAAUUGUAUAGGGAUGAGGAGCCGGUAUUGUUGAUAAAAAAAUAUUUGAGAAAUUUAUUUACAAAUCAAUUGCUAUAAUUUGAAGGCCAAGAAAAAAAAUUAAUCAAUUUUUAACAAUUUGCAUUGUGAAACAGUGCGAGCGAAAUUGUAUAAAGAUGAGGGGCCGGAACUGCUGAUGAAAGAAUAUUUGAAAAAUUUAUUUUCAAAUUAAUUGCUAUAAUUUGAAGGCAAAAAAAAAAUUAAUUUAUUUUUGAGAAUUUGUAUUGUGAGAAACUGUUUGCAAAAUCGUAUAGAGAUGAGGGGCCGGUACUGCUGAAAAAAAAAUAUUUGAGAAAUUUUUUUACAUAUUAAUCGCUAUAAUCUAAUGGCAAAAAAAAAAUUAAUUUAUUUUAAAGAAUUAGUAUUGUGAAAAAGUGUUUGUGAAAUCGUAUAGGGAUGACGGGCCGGUACUGCGGAUAAAAAAAAUAUUUGAGAAAUUUUUUUACAUAUUAAUCGCUAUAAUCUGAUGGCAAAAAAAAAAAUUAAUUUAUUUGAAAAAAUUUGUCUUGUGAAAAAGUGAUUGCGAAAUUGUAUAGGGAUGAGGGACCGGUACUGCUGAUGAAAAAAUAUUUGAGUAAUUUGUUUAUAAAUUAAUACAUAAUGUAGCUCUCGCUUUUUCACAAUACAAAUUCUUCAAAAUUAACUAAUUUUUCUUUUUGGCCAUCAGGUUAUAGCAAUUAAUUUGUAAAUAAAUUUUUUUAAUAUUUUUUCAUCAGCAGUACCGGCCCCUUAUCCGUAUACAAUUUCGCAAUCACUUAUUCACAAUACAAAUUCUUAAAAAUAAAUUAAUUUUUUUUUGACCAUCAAAUUAUAGCAAUUGAUUUGUAAAUAAAUUUCUCAAAUAUUUUUUUAUCAAAAAUACUGGCUCCUCAUCCCUAUACUAUUUCGCAAAUACUUUUUUUGUAGAAUUUGUAUUGUAAAAAAGCAUAAGCGAAAUUGUAUAGGAAUGAGGAGCCGGUACUGCUGAUAAAAAAAUAUUUGAAAAAUUUAUUUACAAAUUGAUGCUCUUAAAGUGAUGGCCAAAAAAAAAAUUAAUUUAUUUUUGAUAAUCUGUAUUGUGAAAAAGUGAGAGCGACAUUGUAAAGGGAUGAGGGGUUAGUACUGCUGAUAAAAAAAUAUUUGAAAAAUUUUUUUACAAAUUAAUCGCUAUAAUUUGAUGGCUAAAAAAAAAAAAUUUAUUUAUUUUUAAGAAUCUGUAUUGUGAAAAAGUGAGAGCGACAUUGUGUAGGGAUUAAGGGCCGGUUCUGCUGAUAAAAAAAUAUUUGAGAAAUUUUUUUACAAAUUAAUUGCUAUAGUUUGAUGGCUAAAAAAAAAAAAUUUAUUUAUUUUUAAGAAUCUGUAUUGUGAAAAAGUGAGAGCGACAUUGUGUAGGGAUUAAGGGCCGGUUCUGCUGAUAAAAAAAUAUUUGAGAAAUUUAUUAACAAAUUAAUGUUUUUAAAUUGAUGGCCAAAAAAAAAAUUUAUUUAUUUUUAAGAAUCUGUAUUGUGAAAAAGUGAGAGCGACAUUGUAUAGGGAUGAGGGGUCAGUACUGCUGAUAAAAAAAUAUUUGAAAAAUUUUUUUACAUAUUAAUCGCUAUAAUUUGAUGGCCAAAAAAAAAAUUAAUUUAUUUUAAAGAAUUUGUAUUGUGAAAACCCCGUAUAGGGAUGACGGGCCGGUACUGCUGAGGAAAAAAUAUUUGAGUAAUUCAUUUAUAAAUUAAUACCCAAUGUAGCUCUCACUUUUUCACAAUACAAAUUCGUCAAAA